GAUCAAUUGGGACCGCAAUAGCUCAAAUACAUGAUUUUCCUCAGUGAUUCCUCAAACUCCUUUAUUUUCUCUUCUUUCUUGAAUUUAUCGAAAAUCACAGAAAAAGAGUGGAUAGAGAGCUUCUUGGCCUGAGAGUAUGAUCUUAGACUAUUCUUUGUUUGCUGUUGGAUCCAUAUAUCUGAAAGUGUGAUUCCAUUUGUAGAAACCCUAAUCUUUCAGUGCCUCCACAACUUCCACACUGGCUGCCACAAUCCAAGAUCUGCUUGCAGU
RNAcentral lists this long non-coding RNA (270 nucleotides) under Olea europaea (common olive). Its description in RNAcentral is "long non-coding RNA (OEUR_LNC001926)". The record is from RNAcentral. Lineage: Eukaryota; Viridiplantae; Streptophyta; Magnoliopsida; Lamiales; Oleaceae.